AUACGGAGGAUCCGAGCGUUAUCCGGAUUUAUUGGGUUUAAAGGGUGCGUAGGCGGCCUUUUAAGUCAGCGGUGAAAGUCUGUGGCUCAACCAUAGAAUUGCCGUUGAAACUGGGGGGCUUGAGUAUGUUUGAGGCAGGCGGAAUGCGCGGGGUAGGGGGUAAAUGCUUAGAUAUCACGCAGAACCCCGAUUGCGAAGGCAGCCUGCCAAGCCAUGACUGACGCUGAUGCACGAAAGCGUGGGGAUCAAACAGGAUUAGAUACCCUGGUAGUCCACGCAGUAAACGAUGAUCACUAGCUGUUUGCGAUACACUGUAAGCGGCACAGCGAAAGCGUUAAGUGAUCCACCUGGGGAGUACGCCGGCAACGGUGAAACUCAAAUGAAUUGGCGGGG
This 393-nucleotide ribosomal RNA is filed under the name uncultured bacterium. RNAcentral's name for it is "partial 16S ribosomal RNA". It matches the Rfam family "Bacterial small subunit ribosomal RNA", at positions 523 to 918 of the family's 1533-position model. The record is from RNAcentral.